RNAcentral lists this ribosomal RNA (830 nucleotides) under Lactiplantibacillus plantarum. Its description in RNAcentral is "bacterial SSU rRNA". It matches the Rfam family "Bacterial small subunit ribosomal RNA", at positions 56 to 852 of the family's 1533-position model. Lineage: Bacteria; Bacillati; Bacillota; Bacilli; Lactobacillales; Lactobacillaceae. The record is from RNAcentral.
UGCAGUCGAACGAACUCUGGUAUUGAUUGGUGCUUGCAUCAUGAUUUACAUUUGAGUGAGUGGCGAACUGGUGAGUAACACGUGGGAAACCUGCCCAGAAGCGGGGGAUAACACCUGGAAACAGAUGCUAAUACCGCAUAACAACUUGGACCGCAUGGUCCGAGUUUGAAAGAUGGCUUCGGCUAUCACUUUUGGAUGGUCCCGCGGCGUAUUAGCUAGAUGGUGGGGUAACGGCUCACCAUGGCAAUGAUACGUAGCCGACCUGAGAGGGUAAUCGGCCACAUUGGGACUGAGACACGGCCCAAACUCCUACGGGAGGCAGCAGUAGGGAAUCUUCCACAAUGGACGAAAGUCUGAUGGAGCAACGCCGCGUGAGUGAAGAAGGGUUUCGGCUCGUAAAACUCUGUUGUUAAAGAAGAACAUAUCUGAGAGUAACUGUUCAGGUAUUGACGGUAUUUAACCAGAAAGCCACGGCUAACUACGUGCCAGCAGCCGCGGUAAUACGUAGGUGGCAAGCGUUGUCCGGAUUUAUUGGGCGUAAAGCGAGCGCAGGCGGUUUUUUAAGUCUGAUGUGAAAGCCUUCGGCUCAACCGAAGAAGUGCAUCGGAAACUGGGAAACUUGAGUGCAGAAGAGGACAGUGGAACUCCAUGUGUAGCGGUGAAAUGCGUAGAUAUAUGGAAGAACACCAGUGGCGAAGGCGGCUGUCUGGUCUGUAACUGACGCUGAGGCUCGAAAGUAUGGGUAGCAAACAGGAUUAGAUACCCUGGUAGUCCAUACCGUAACGAUGAAUGCUAAGUGUUGGAGGGUUUCCGCCCUUCAGUGCUGCAGC